Molecule: ribosomal RNA, 390 nt
Filed under: uncultured Anoxybacillus sp.
Lineage: Bacteria; Bacillati; Bacillota; Bacilli; Caryophanales; Anoxybacillaceae
Description: bacterial SSU rRNA
Rfam family: Bacterial small subunit ribosomal RNA
Source: RNAcentral
UGACAACCGAGAGAUCGGCGUUCCCCUUCGGGGGACAGGGUGACAGGUGGUGCAUGGUUGUCGUCAGCUCGUGUCGUGAGAUGUUGGGUUAAGUCCCGCAACGAGCGCAACCCUCGACCUUAGUUGCCAGCAUUCAGUUGGGCACUCUAAGGUGACUGCCGGCUAAAAGUCGGAGGAAGGUGGGGAUGACGUCAAGUCAGCACGGCCCUUACGUCCUGGGCUACACACACGCUACAAUGGGUGGUACAAAGGGUAGCGAAGGGGUGACCUGGAGCCAAUCCCAACAAAGCCAUCCCCAGUUCAGAUUGCAGGCUGCAACUCGCCUGCAUGAAGUCGGAGUUGCUAGUAACCGUGGGUCAGCACACCGCGGUGAAUAUGUUCCCGGGCCUU